GACGAACGCUGGCGGCGUCCUUAACACAUGCAAGUCGAACGGAAAGGCCCUGCUUGCCGGGUACUCGAGUGGCGAACGGGUGAGUAACACGUGGGUGAUCUGCCCUGCACUUCGGGAUAAGCCUGGGAAGCUGGGUCUAAUACCGGAUAGGAGCCAUUUUUAGUGUGAUGGUUGGAAAGUUUUUUCGGUGUAGGAUGAGCUCGCGGCCUAUCAGCUUGUUGGUGGGGUAAUGGCCUACCAAGGCGGCGACGGGUAGCCGGCCUGAGAGGGUGGACGGCCACAUUGGGACUGAGAUACGGCCCAGACUCCUACGGGAGGCAGCAGUGGGGAAUAUUGCACAAUGGGCGCAAGCCUGAUGCAGCGACGCCGCGGGGGGGAGGACGGCCUUCGGGUUGUAAACGCCUUUCGCUAGGGACGAAGCUUUUUGUGACGGUACCUAGAGAAGAAGCACCGGCUAACUACGUG
Molecule: ribosomal RNA, 465 nt
Filed under: uncultured bacterium
Lineage: Bacteria
Description: partial 16S ribosomal RNA
Rfam family: Bacterial small subunit ribosomal RNA
Source: RNAcentral